Long non-coding RNA from Saccostrea echinata, 262 nucleotides. RefSeq lists it as uncharacterized. Lineage: Eukaryota; Metazoa; Mollusca; Bivalvia; Ostreida; Ostreidae. The transcript has 3 exons. The record is from RefSeq and is a predicted model, not a curated record.
GGGAAACGUUCAGUCUGCCUGGGUUAUAUAUAGGUAGAUUCAUUGAUUUCGGAUCAGAAAAUUAUCAAUGUUCAUGGAUUCCCAGAACACAGCAGGGAGAAGUUUAUGUUAUGAACAUUUCUUAGCAACAAACCCUGUAAGAAGAAGGACGUCUGUUCUACAGCUUGUGGUGGAUUAUAGAACACAUGAUAUCAACCAAGUUUAAAGGAAGCAUGUAUAGCCACAUUAGAAAGAUUUAAGGAUUGUGAGAAACCAAAUAUGA